This 463-nucleotide ribosomal RNA is filed under the name Peptostreptococcus stomatis. RNAcentral describes it as "bacterial SSU rRNA". It matches the Rfam family "Bacterial small subunit ribosomal RNA", at positions 28 to 458 of the family's 1533-position model. Lineage: Bacteria; Bacillati; Bacillota; Clostridia; Peptostreptococcales; Peptostreptococcaceae. The record is from RNAcentral.
GAUGAACGCUGGCGGCGUGCCUAACACAUGCAAGUCGAUCGAGGGUUUGCUCAGUAUUGAGUAUUCUAAGACUAGAAUGUUCAAUUCUGAGCAAAACCAAGCGGCGGACGGGUGAGUAACGCGUGGGUAACCUGCCCUAUACACAUGGAUAACAUACUGAAAAGUUUACUAAUACAUGAUAAUAUAUAUUUGCGGCAUCGCAGAUAUAUCAAAGUGUUAGCGGUAUAGGAUGGACCCGCGUCUGAUUAGCUAGUUGGUGAGAUAACUGCCCACCAAGGCGACGAUCAGUAGCCGACCUGAGAGGGUGAUCGGCCACAUUGGAACUGAGACACGGUCCAAACUCCUACGGGAGGCAGCAGUGGGGAAUAUUGCACAAUGGGCGAAAGCCUGAUGCAGCAACGCCGCGUGAACGAUGAAGGUCUUCGGAUCGUAAAGUUCUGUUGCAGGGGAAGAUAAUGACGUA